Molecule: ribosomal RNA, 691 nt
Filed under: Streptomyces glebosus
Lineage: Bacteria; Bacillati; Actinomycetota; Actinomycetes; Kitasatosporales; Streptomycetaceae
Description: bacterial SSU rRNA
Rfam family: Bacterial small subunit ribosomal RNA
Source: RNAcentral
CUCCUUCGGGAGGGGAUUAGUGGCGAACGGGUGAGUAACACGUGGGCAAUCUGCCCUUCACUCUGGGACAAGCCCUGGAAACGGGGUCUAAUACCGGAUACGACUACCGACCGCAUGGUCUGGUGGUGGAAAGCUCCGGCGGUGAAGGAUGAGCCCGCGGCCUAUCAGCUUGUUGGUGGGGUGAUGGCCUACCAAGGCGACGACGGGUAGCCGGCCUGAGAGGGCGACCGGCCACACUGGGACUGAGACACGGCCCAGACUCCUACGGGAGGCAGCAGUGGGGAAUAUUGCACAAUGGGCGAAAGCCUGAUGCAGCGACGCCGCGUGAGGGAUGACGGCCUUCGGGUUGUAAACCUCUUUCAGCAGGGAAGAAGCGAGAGUGACGGUACCUGCAGAAGAAGCGCCGGCUAACUACGUGCCAGCAGCCGCGGUAAUACGUAGGGCGCAAGCGUUGUCCGGAAUUAUUGGGCGUAAAGAGCUCGUAGGCGGCUUGUCACGUCGGAUGUGAAAGCCCGGGGCUUAACCCCGGGUCUGCAUUCGAUACGGGCAGGCUAGAGUUCGGUAGGGGAGAUCGGAAUUCCUGGUGUAGCGGUGAAAUGCGCAGAUAUCAGGAGGAACACCGGUGGCGAAGGCGGAUCUCUGGGCCGAUACUGACGCUGAGGAGCGAAAGCGUGGGGAGCGAACAGGAUUA